This 399-nucleotide ribosomal RNA is filed under the name uncultured bacterium. RNAcentral describes it as "bacterial SSU rRNA". It matches the Rfam family "Bacterial small subunit ribosomal RNA", at positions 358 to 774 of the family's 1533-position model. The record is from RNAcentral.
GGGAUAUUGCACAAUGGGGGAAACCCUGAUGCAGCGACGCCGCGUGGGUGAAGAAGUAUUUCGGUAUGUAAAGCCCUAUCAGCAGGGACGAUAAUGACGGUACCUGAGUAAGAAGCCCCGGCUAACUACGUGCCAGCAGCCGCGGUAAUACGUAGGGGGCAAGCGUUAUCCGGAUUUACUGGGUGUAAAGGGGGCGCAGACGGAAAUGCAAGCCAGAUGUGAAAGCCCGGGGCUCAGCCCUGGGAGUGCAUUUGGAACUGUGUAUCUAGAGUACUGGAGAGGUAAGCGGAAUUCCUGGUGUAGCGGUGAAAUGCGUAGAUAACAGGAAGAACACCGGUGGCGAAGGCGGCUUACUGGACAGAGACUGACGUUGAGGCCCGAAAGCGUGGGGAGCAAACA